GCGAACGCUGGCGGCAGGCCUAACACCUGCCAGUCGAACGAACCUUUCGGGGUUAGUGGCGGACGGGUGAGUAACACGUGGGAACGUGCCUUUAGGUUCGGAAUAACUCAGGGAAACUUGUGCUAAUACCGAAUGUGCCCUUCGGGGGAAAGAUUAAUCGCCUUUAGAGCGGCCCGCGUCUGAUUAGCUAGUUGGUUGAGGUAAUGGCUCACCAAGGCGACGAUCAGUAGCUGGUCUGAGAGGAUGAUCAGCCACAUUGGGACUGAGACACGGCCCAAACUCCUACGGGAGGCAGCAGUGGGGAAUCUUGCGCAAUGGGCGAAAGCCUGACGCAGCCAUGCCGCGUGAAUGAUGAAGGUCUUAGGAUUGUAAAAUUCUUUCACCGGGGACGAUAAUGACGGUACCCGGAGAAGAAGCCCCGGCUAACUUCGUG
Molecule: ribosomal RNA, 433 nt
Filed under: uncultured bacterium
Lineage: Bacteria
Description: partial 16S ribosomal RNA
Rfam family: Bacterial small subunit ribosomal RNA
Source: RNAcentral